UGACAAGAUGAGUUUAAUACACUGAACAGUCUAUUGGAAAUAGUGAGAAAUUAUAAUCUGAAUUUAAAUAUUUUGAAAGAUUUAAUCUCUAAUUAGAUUAGAGAAUAAUUAAAUAUUCAUAGAUUAUUAUGAGAUAAUAUUCUAAUUAGAUUAGAUUUAAAUAUGAAUAUUUAAUUAUGAUUUAAUAGAUAAGAUCCAAUUAAAUUGAAUUCAUUAGAGAGAUGAGAAUUAAUUCUAUUCGAUAAGCUUCAAUUAGUUUGU
RNAcentral lists this long non-coding RNA (261 nucleotides) under Ananas comosus (pineapple). Its description in RNAcentral is "long non-coding RNA (ACOM_LNC030537)". Lineage: Eukaryota; Viridiplantae; Streptophyta; Magnoliopsida; Poales; Bromeliaceae. The record is from RNAcentral.